RNAcentral lists this ribosomal RNA (253 nucleotides) under uncultured bacterium. Its description in RNAcentral is "partial 16S ribosomal RNA". It matches the Rfam family "Bacterial small subunit ribosomal RNA", at positions 524 to 776 of the family's 1533-position model. The record is from RNAcentral.
UAAGGAGGGUGCAAGCGUUAUCCGGAUUCACUGGGUUUAAAGGGUGCGUAGGUGGGCAGGUAAGUCCGUGGUGAAAUGCUAUAGCUUAACUAUAGAACUGCCAUGGAUACUAUUUGUCUUGAAUGUCGUAGAGGUAAGCGGAAUAUGUCAUGUAGCGGUGAAAUGCUUAGAUAUGACAUAGAACACCAAUUGCGAAGUCAGCUUACUAUGCGAUGAUUGACACUGAGGCACGAAAGCGUGGGUAGCAAACAGG